GUAUUUUGACUAUACGAAGGUAUUGAAAUAAGACUUUAAAUGGGUGCUAAGAGAAUGGUUGAACAAUUAUUAACUUUCUUUAAUUAAAUAAUUGAAUUUAAUUUUUUUUGUGAAGAAGCAAAAAUAGAAAUUAGGGACAAGAAGACCCUAUGAAUUUUAAUUGGGUUAUUAGUUUGAUUUUAUUAAACUAUUAUUUAAUUUGGUUGGGGUGAUGAAAAAAGAAUAUAUAUCUUUAAUUAAUUUUUUAAAAAUUAGUUCCGCUUUUUGCGAUUGAUUGAAAAAAAUACUCUAGGGAUAACAGCGUAAUAAUUUUGGAUAGUUCAUAUAGAUAAAAUAGUUUGCGACCUCGAUGUUGGAUUAGGAUUCUUAUUCGGCGAAGAAGUUAAAAA
This 389-nucleotide ribosomal RNA is filed under the name Ixodes tapirus. Its description in RNAcentral is "partial large subunit ribosomal RNA". Lineage: Eukaryota; Metazoa; Arthropoda; Arachnida; Ixodida; Ixodidae. The record is from RNAcentral.